Molecule: ribosomal RNA, 432 nt
Filed under: uncultured bacterium
Lineage: Bacteria
Description: partial 16S ribosomal RNA
Rfam family: Bacterial small subunit ribosomal RNA
Source: RNAcentral
AACGAACGCUGGCGGCAUGCCUAACACAUGCAAGUCGAACGAGACCUUCGGGUCUAGUGGCGAACGGGUGCGUAACGCGUGGGAAACUGCCCUUAGGUUCGGAAUAACUCCCCGAAAGGGGUGCUAAUACCGGAUAAUGUCUUCGGACCAAAGAUUUAUCGCCUUUGGAUGGGCUCGCGUUGGAUUAGCUAGUUGGUAGGGUAAAAGCCUACCAAGGGGACGAUCCAUAGCUGGUCUGAGAGGAGGAUGAGCCACACUGGGACGGAGACACGGCCCAGACUCCGACGGGGGGAGGGGUGGGGGAAUAUUGGGAAUGGGGCGAAACCCUGUCCCACCAAGGCCGGGUGAGUGAGGAAGGCCUUGGGGUUGAAAAGCUCUUUUCCCCGGGAUGAAAAUGACAGAACCGGGAGAAUAAGCCCCGGCUAACCCCGG